Molecule: ribosomal RNA, 253 nt
Filed under: uncultured bacterium
Lineage: Bacteria
Description: partial 16S ribosomal RNA
Rfam family: Bacterial small subunit ribosomal RNA
Source: RNAcentral
UACGUAGGCGGCAAGCGUUGUCCGGAUUUAUUGGGUUUAAAGGGUGCGUAGGUGGUCAAUUAAGUCAGUGCUGAAAUAUCCCGGCUUAACCGGGAGGGUGGCAUUGAUACUGAUUGACUUGAGUAGAGUUGAGGUAGGCGGAAUUGACGGUGUAGCGGUGAAAUGCUUAGAUAUCGUCAAGAACACCGAUAGCGAAGGCAGCUUACUAAGCUCAAGCUGACACUGAUGCACGAAAGUGUGGGGAUCAAACAGG